CACACCCUCUGGUCGCCCCUUUUGUCGGGCGGCGACCGGGUCCUGAGGGGAGCGUCUUCUCGCACCCUCUAAAGUGGAAAGCCAGCGGCCCGCCUGCCCUCGAAAGACGUAGUAACUCGAAAGACCUCGUCCGCGAAAGGGUUCAAAGGUGCAGGGCUCGCCUCGAAGCCAACUACCUAAG
RNAcentral lists this unclassified non-coding RNA (181 nucleotides) under uncultured fungus. RNAcentral's name for it is "sequence contains ITS2". The record is from RNAcentral. Lineage: Eukaryota; Fungi.